Molecule: long non-coding RNA, 230 nt
Organism: Hyla sarda
Lineage: Eukaryota; Metazoa; Chordata; Amphibia; Anura; Hylidae
Exons: 3
Source: RefSeq, a predicted model, not a curated record
AGGUGACUGAUGUCCGGUGAGAAGGUGAAAGUGACCUAUACCCCUGUCAGCUACAGGAAAGGAACCAAGAGACAGGUGACUGAUGCCCGGUGAGAAGGUGAAAGUGACCUAUACCCCCGUCAGCUGCAGGAAAGGAACCAAGAGACAGGUGACUGAUGCCCGGUGAGAAGGUGAAAGUGACCUAUACCCCUGUCAGCUGCAGUAAAAGAACCAACAGACAGGUAAUUAAU